Non-coding RNA from Viridothelium virens, 88 nucleotides. The record is from the annotation of a GenBank genome assembly. NCBI's taxonomy places the organism in Eukaryota, Fungi, Ascomycota, Dothideomycetes, Trypetheliales, Trypetheliaceae.
UCGGAUAUGGUGUAUCGGCUAGCAUCACCCGCUCUCAAUCAGAGCAUUGUGCCCCGGGUAGAGCCGGGUUCGACUCCCGGUAUCCGAA